RNAcentral lists this ribosomal RNA (443 nucleotides) under uncultured bacterium. Its description in RNAcentral is "SSU rRNA". It matches the Rfam family "Bacterial small subunit ribosomal RNA", at positions 26 to 517 of the family's 1533-position model. The record is from RNAcentral.
AGAGCGAACGCUGGCGGCAGGCCUAAAACAUGCAAGUCGAACGGACCCUUCGGGGUUAGUGGCGGACGGGUGAGUAACACGUGGGAACGUGCCUUUUGGUUCAGAACAACUCAGGGAAACUUGAGCUAAUACUGAAUAAGCCCUACGGGGGAAAGAUUUAUCGCCAUUAGAGCGGCCCGCGUUGGAUUAGCUAGUUGGUGAGGUAAAGGCUCACCAAGGCUACGAUCCAUAGCUGGUCUGAGAGGAUGAUCAGCCACACUGGGACUGAGACACGGCCCAGACUCCUACGGGAGGCAGCAGUUAGGAAUCUUGCGCAAUGGGCGAAAGCCUGACGCAGCCAUGCCGCGUGAAUGAUGAAGGUCUUAGGAUUGUAAAAUUCUUUCAGCGGGGAAGAUAAUGACUGUACCGCAGAAGAAGCUCCGGCUAACUCGCGCCAGCAGCCG